This 207-nucleotide ribosomal RNA is filed under the name uncultured bacterium. RNAcentral's name for it is "partial 16S ribosomal RNA". It matches the Rfam family "Bacterial small subunit ribosomal RNA", at positions 568 to 774 of the family's 1533-position model. The record is from RNAcentral.
CGUGUAGACGGUUUGGCAAGUCAGAUGUGAAAGCCCUGGGCUCAACCCAGGAAGUGCAUUUGAAACUGCCGUUCUUGAGUAUGGGAGAGGAGAGUGGAAUUCCCAAUGUAGAGGUGAAAUUCGUAGAUAUUGGGAGGAACACCCGUGGCGAAGGCGACUCUCUGGACCAAUACUGACGCUGAGACGCGAAAGCGUGGGGAGCAAACA